AUCUUUCUAGUACAAACUCAGUACAAGUGACUUCCAAUCACUUAAUCUUGGUUAAACCCCAAGGAAAGAUA
Molecule: transfer RNA, 71 nt
Filed under: Rasbora pauciperforata (red-stripped rasbora)
Lineage: Eukaryota; Metazoa; Chordata; Actinopteri; Cypriniformes; Danionidae
Description: tRNA-Gly
Rfam family: tRNA
About the family: Transfer RNA (tRNA) molecules are approximately 80 nucleotides in length.
Source: RNAcentral